UACGUAGGGUGCAAGCGUUGUCCGGAAUUAUUGGGCGUAAAGAGCUCGUAGGCGGUCUGUCGCGUCGGCUGUGAAAUCUCGGGGCUCAACCCCGAGCCUGCAGUCGAUACGGGCAGACUAGAGUGCUGUAGGGGAGACUGGAAUUCCUGGUGUAGCGGUGAAAUGCGCAGAUAUCAGGAGGAACACCGGUGGCGAAGGCGGGUCUCUGGGCAUUUCCUGACGCUGAGGAGCGAAAGCGUGGGGAGCAAACGGG
This 253-nucleotide ribosomal RNA is filed under the name uncultured bacterium. RNAcentral describes it as "partial 16S ribosomal RNA". It matches the Rfam family "Bacterial small subunit ribosomal RNA", at positions 524 to 776 of the family's 1533-position model. The record is from RNAcentral.